Molecule: long non-coding RNA, 1339 nt
Filed under: Gallus gallus (chicken)
Lineage: Eukaryota; Metazoa; Chordata; Aves; Galliformes; Phasianidae
Description: lncRNA (ENSGALG00010008954.1)
Source: RNAcentral
CUUUCUGGAGAUUGCUCCUCCUGGAGUUUUUCCUGUGAGCCUAUGAUACAGGACUAAGAAAAACUCUGUUUUCUCGGGCUUCAAGGAGGGAUAAACUGAAAAUGUUGUUUUGAGGCCUGAAUCUUUCUUCUCAUAACAAAAUGCUACUACGCAUUAAGUGUGAUGCAGCUACAAACUAGAGUUAAAUCAGGAAAUGAUGGAUGUCAUGGCAGGAAGGAAUGCUCCAGCUGAAUCAUGAUAUUACAGUAUAUGCUUUCUCUGACAUAAUUAAGCAUUCCACUGCUGAAUGAAACUGUGCAGGAGAACUCUGCAGUACCUGUGAAACUCACUACAGUGUUGCGGGGCUAUACUUGAAGGUUAAAGUACUUUUCAGUCAGUAAGACCUUCACCAUACAUUUGAAAUGGAAUUAAUAAGCCUCAUUUGAGUUCCUCUUUUGCUUACUACACAGAUUGUUCCUUUUGAAGCAGUUGGGACAAGAAAGCAAUGUGUAUUGGGUCGUAAAUAUACUAUGUAAAGUGGUGCUUUGAAUGGGGGGGGGGGGGGGGGGGGAGGGGAACACUGAAAUAACAAGCAUAAUUGGUGGUCUCCUAAAUUUUCCUCAUGUGCUUUCAUUUUUUUCUGUCUUGAAGAUGAAGGGAUGCUUUUACAGUCCUUUAUUGUUCUUCGAUCUGUAUUUUUACUGUGAACUUUACAUUUUCAUCUACAGGAUGAAGAUAUAAAUUCAUUUAUGCUAUAUAGUACUCAGUGGCAAUCUUGAAAAAACUUGUUUGUAUGCUUUCCAGCCUUUUCCAUAAAGCAGAAAUAAUACCAAAUUUUGUAUGAGACCAUUCUAUACAAACAAAAAAUACUUGAACCAGGAGCUCUGAUGGUGUUUUUGUAAGCACAUAACUUUUUUUUAAUUCCAAAAAUAGAUCUUUUUGUUGCUGUAACAGUAUACAAACACUUUGUUGUUUUAUAUAACAUGAAGAAAACAUUCCAGUUUUAUUUACUAAUUAUUUACUAUUAAUUAUUUAUUAAGUCAUUAUUCGUCUCAAUCUAGUUGAAUGUAUUUUGUGAAUCAUUUUAGUACUUUUGGUUGAAAUUAUAUCGUGUACUCUUCUGUGUAAAUCUAAGUUCCUCUUUCCCCUUUGAUAAAACCAAGUAGAUCAGCGUAGUCUGGUUUAAUGCUUUUAUAGAUAAUUACUAAAACAGAAAUCUGCUGCUAGAGGUUUAUUUUUCUGACUACGUGCAGCGGUAUAAAAUUCCCCAAAUAACAUAAAGCUUUGUGAUACUGACAUUCUACUGAGAGAGUAUCUUGAAGUAUUCACUUCUAAAAAUUAAAAGAAUGAAGAAUUUACC